CUUCAACUGGCGGUCAACCCGUUAAUGGUCGGAUCGAAAAGCAGUAAACUGGCUGCCCACCACUUACGGGUCGAUGCGAAAACCAGUAAACUGUCGGCCACCAGUGAGUGGUUAAUGAGGUGUUGCCGUAUUUAGAUGUGAAAUUGAACGCAUUUAAGUAUAGUUACGCUCUUUUAGUGCCCAAAAUUAGGUAGCGAGUUAGACAAGGAUAGUAUACCGUAAGAAACACAAAUACACUUGAUAUAAAAUUUGUUAGUGAGGACCAUUCAUUCGGGAACGACCGCCUAGUCCGAGUUCAGUCUUGUAUGUUAGGUCCCUUUUAAUGAUAUGAUCUUAAUAAUAAAAGUCUUAAUUUGAUAAUUAAAUAGCAAUCACCUCCAAUCAUCAAUUUGUUUUAUGGUGGUAUCCAUUUUUAACAAGGACACUGGGAACCUGUCAUUCCUCCGGAGUUUAAUUAGGUCUGGCCAAAUUUAUAAACAUUUCCUAUAUAAUAAUUUAAUUAUUAUAUUCAAAUAGCGUAUUUAACGCUGAUUAUAACGAUAUGUGAUUUAAUAUACUUUUAAACAUAGAAAAGCUUAAAUCGACGGAUUUAUUAAAUUCUUUUAAUCUGCGCUGACCACCCAUCGGAGCCCCGCCACGUGACUGCUUUUGCGCAAAUCCGCGGCGCCACUUGACUACUUUUCGCGUUUUCGCUGGCGCCACUUGAAGGGUACUAACAUAUCGACCGGG
Long non-coding RNA from Cydia splendana, 729 nucleotides. RefSeq lists it as uncharacterized. The transcript has 3 exons. The record is from RefSeq and is a predicted model, not a curated record. NCBI's taxonomy places the organism in Eukaryota, Metazoa, Arthropoda, Insecta, Lepidoptera, Tortricidae.